GUGCUCGUAGCUCAGCUGGAUAGAGCAACGCCCUUCUAAGGCGUAGGCCAGGGGUUCGAAUCCCUUCGGGCACACCA
RNAcentral lists this transfer RNA (77 nucleotides) under Sebaldella termitidis. Its description in RNAcentral is "tRNA-Arg". It matches the Rfam family "tRNA". Rfam says of the family: Transfer RNA (tRNA) molecules are approximately 80 nucleotides in length. Their secondary structure includes four short double-helical elements and three loops (D, anti-codon, and T loops). The record is from RNAcentral. Lineage: Bacteria; Fusobacteriati; Fusobacteriota; Fusobacteriia; Fusobacteriales; Leptotrichiaceae. RNAcentral also lists the same sequence under 1 other name.